RNAcentral lists this ribosomal RNA (841 nucleotides) under Ophiocordyceps khonkaenensis. RNAcentral describes it as "partial large subunit ribosomal RNA". It matches the Rfam family "Eukaryotic large subunit ribosomal RNA", at positions 83 to 954 of the family's 3401-position model. The record is from RNAcentral. Lineage: Eukaryota; Fungi; Ascomycota; Sordariomycetes; Hypocreales; Ophiocordycipitaceae.
CUAACGGCGAGUGAAGCGGCAACAGCUCAAAUUUGAAAUCUGGCUCUCGGGCCCGAGUUGUAAUUUGUAGAGGAUGCUUUUGAUGCGGUGCCUUCCGAGUUCCCUGGAACGGGACGCCAUAGAGGGUGAGAGCCCCGUCUGGUUGGAUGCCAAAUCUCUGUAAAGCUCCUUCGACGAGUCGAGUAGUUUGGGAAUGCUGCUCUAAAUGGGAGGUAUAUGUCUUCUAAAGCUAAAUACCGGCCAGAGACCGAUAGCGCACAAGUAGAGUGAUCGAAAGAUGAAAAGCACUUUGAAAAGAGAGUUAAAAAGUACGUGAAAUUGUUGAAAGGGAAGCGUUUAUGACCAGACUUGGGCUUGGUUAAUCAUCUGGGGUUCUCCCCAGUGCACUUUUCCAGUCCAGGCCAGCAUCAGUUUUCGCCGGGGGAUAAAGGCUUCGGGAAUGUGGCUCUCUCCGGGGAGUGUUAUAGCCCGUUGCGUAAUACCCUGGCGGGGACUGAGGUUCGCGCAUCUGCAAGGAUGCUGGCGUAAUGGUCAUCAACGACCCGUCUUGAAACACGGACCAAGGAGUCGUCUUCGUAUGCGAGUGUUCGGGUGUCAAACCCCUACGCGUAAUGAAAGUGAACGCAGGUGAGAGCUUCGGCGCAUCAUCGACCGAUCCUGAUGUUCUCGGAUGGAUUUGAGUAAGAGCAUACGGGGCCGGACCCGAAAGAAGGUGAACUAUGCCUGUGUAGGGUGAAGCCAGAGGAAACUCUGGUGGAGGCUCGCAGCGGUUCUGACGUGCAAAUCGAUCGUCAAACAUGGGCAUGGGGGCGAAAGACUAAUCGAACCUUCUAGUAGCUGG